RNAcentral lists this ribosomal RNA (384 nucleotides) under Ctenopoma sp. WJC-2002. Its description in RNAcentral is "partial 16S ribosomal RNA". It matches the Rfam family "Bacterial large subunit ribosomal RNA", at positions 1965 to 2502 of the family's 2925-position model. The record is from RNAcentral. Lineage: Eukaryota; Metazoa; Chordata; Actinopteri; Anabantiformes; Anabantidae.
UCACUUGUCUUUUAAAUGAAGACCUGNAUNAAUGGCACGACGAGGGCUCAACUGUCUCCUUUUUCAAGUCAAUGAAAUUGAUCUCCCCGUGCAGAAGCGGGGAUACAAACAUAAGACGAGAAGACCCUAUGGAGCUUCAGACACGAAAGCAGAUCUUGUUAAACCCCCUAAAAUAAAAGGCCAAACCAAAAGAAUACUGCUCUAAUGUCUUUGGUUGGGGCGACCGCGGGGAAAAAAAUAACCCCCAUGUGGAAUAAGAGAACUUCUCUUAAAAACAAGAGCCACAGCUCCAGUUAACAGAAUAUCUGACCUUAAGAUCCGGCAAUGCCGAUCAACGGACCGAGUUACCCUAGGGAUAACAGCGCAAUCCCCUUUUAGAGUCCA